This 495-nucleotide ribosomal RNA is filed under the name uncultured bacterium. RNAcentral describes it as "partial 16S ribosomal RNA". It matches the Rfam family "Bacterial small subunit ribosomal RNA", at positions 28 to 507 of the family's 1533-position model. The record is from RNAcentral.
GACGAACGCUGGCGGCGUGCCUAAUACAUGCAAGUAGAACGCUGAAGGAGGAGCUUGCUUCUCUGGAUGAGUUGCAAACGGGUGAGUAACGCGUAGGUAACCUGCCUGGUAGCGGGGGAUAACUAUUGGAAACGAUAGCUAAUACCGCAUAAGAGUAGAUGUUGCAUGACAUUUGCUUAAAAGGUGCAAUUGCAUCACUACCAGAUGGACCUGCGUUGUAUUAGCUAGUUGGUGGGGUAACGGCUCACCAAGGCGACGAUACAUAGCCGACCUGAGAGGGUGAUCGGCCACACUGGGACUGAGACACGGCCCAGACUCCUACGGGAGGCAGCAGUAGGGAAUCUUCGGCAAUGGACGGAAGUCUGACCGAGCAACGCCGCGUGAGUGAAGAAGGUUUUCGGAUCGUAAAGCUCUGUUGUAAGAGAAGAACGAGUGUGAGAGUGGAAAGUUCACACUGUGACGGUAUCUUACCAGAAAGGGACGGCUAACUACGUG